CCCUGGGUGGUGCAAAUGGUUAACUCAUUCGGCUGCUAACCGAAAGGUUGGAGGUUUGAGCCCACCCAGGGG
This is a transfer RNA of Loxodonta africana (African savanna elephant), 72 nucleotides long. It matches the Rfam family "tRNA". From Rfam's summary of the family: Transfer RNA (tRNA) molecules are approximately 80 nucleotides in length. Their secondary structure includes four short double-helical elements and three loops (D, anti-codon, and T loops). Lineage: Eukaryota; Metazoa; Chordata; Mammalia; Proboscidea; Elephantidae. The record is from Rfam.